RNAcentral lists this long non-coding RNA (1312 nucleotides) under Oryctolagus cuniculus (rabbit). RNAcentral's name for it is "lncRNA (ENSOCUG00000037616.1)". The record is from RNAcentral. Lineage: Eukaryota; Metazoa; Chordata; Mammalia; Lagomorpha; Leporidae.
AUGAGGAUGUAUCUCCAGCAAUGUAUCAUGAGAUGGAUGUCAAACAGAAGCAGCAAGGAGUUAGAGGGGAAUUCUGAGGCAUCCGCCCCAUCUUGGUCUGCUCUGGCUGCAGUAACUCCUUCAGACUAUAAACAAACCUUACUUCUUACACUCUGGAGGCUGGGAAUCCAAGAUCAAGGUGCCACGAGUGUUAACAGCCCACUUCUUGUUCACAGAUGUCCAUCUUCACACUGUAAUCUCGGGUUGUGUAAUCGCAGAGGGAACUCUCUGAGCAGUGCUAACAAUAAUCCCCAAAGAUACAAGUCUGGACUAUUGAAAUAUGACACAAUAAAAUCUCAGAGUUUAAAGACCUGAAAAUCACAUUCAUGGAAAAUUAAAAUUCCAAAUGCUAAAAUCCUGAAAAUCAAAAUAUUUUAAUCUAGCUGUGGGAAUUGUACAUGUGUGUUUUUAUAUUUUUCUCUGUUGCACUACUUUUAACUUGUCAAUAUUAUUUUUAUAAUUCCCCAUGCUAUUUAUUUCAUCAUGUAUCUCAUGUUUUCAUCAUUUCUACUGAAGAAAUACAAACCAUAUCGCUUAGUUCUAAAUUGUUUUGUACAUUUUGUGCAAAUUUGAUUCAUUUAAUAUUCACUUUCAUACCAUUGUGCACAUACACAGAAUUGUUGAAGCUUCCUGAAUAAGUAAAGACAUCUUUACUGUUCUGAUAUCAGCUUUCUAGGCAACUGUGUGUGAAAUGGUGAUCCACCUCAGGUUUUAACUGAACUUGCCAAAAGACAUAAAUUGUGAGUCGUGGUAUUUCAGAUGAUUGCAGUCAGAAAGCUGGGUGCACAUGAUUACUGCUGUAGUGAUAUGCACUCAUGUAUUUUGUUUUUUGACCUCUUUCUUUAUUAGGCACUUUGGUAUUUUGUUUAAUUUUCAUGAGGCUGUGGGGAUCACUGUAAUCUUUUUAAAUAUAAAAAUGGGGGUAGACAUCUGGCAGAGCAAAGGUGAUUCUUGGAAGCCUACACCCCUUACGGGAGGGUCUGGGUUCCAAUCCUGCCUCUUCAAUCCAGCUUCCAGCUGGUGCAAUGGAUAGCAACUCAAGUACCUGUGUCCUUACCUCUCAUGUGGAAGAUCCAGAUUGAACUUUAAGUUCCUGAUUUUAGCCUUACCCAGCUCUGCCUGUUUUGGGCGUUUGGGCAGUAAACCAGUGAAUCUCUCUCUCUCUCUCUCUCUUUCCUUUCUUCCUCCUUCCUUCCAAAUUUCUCUCUCUCAUAGUAAUCUCUUUAUCUCUCUGCCUUGGAUUAAAUAAAUAAAUAUUUUUUAAAAAGAAACA